RNAcentral lists this ribosomal RNA (301 nucleotides) under uncultured bacterium. Its description in RNAcentral is "partial 16S ribosomal RNA". It matches the Rfam family "Bacterial small subunit ribosomal RNA", at positions 509 to 809 of the family's 1533-position model. The record is from RNAcentral.
CAGCAGCCGCGGUAAUACGUAGGUGGCAAGCGUUGUCCGGAAUUAUUGGGCGUAAAGCGCGCGCAGGCGGAUAGGUCAGUCUGUCUUAAAAGUUCGGGGCUUAACCCCGUGAUGGGAUGGAAACUGCCAAUCUAGAGUAUCGGAGAGGAAAGUGGAAUUCCUAGUGUAGCGGUGAAAUGCGUAGAUAUUAGGAAGAACACCAGUGGCGAAGGCGACUUUCUGGACGAAAACUGACGCUGAGGCGCGAAAGCCAGGGGAGCGAACGGGAUUAGAUACCCCUGUAGUCCCUGUCUCUUAUACA